CCUACGGGAGGCAGCAGUGAGGAAUAUUGGUCAAUGGACGAGAGUCUGAACCAGCCAAGUAGCGUGAAGGAUGAAGGUCCUACGGAUUGUAAACUUCUUUUAUAAGGGAAUAAAACCUCCCACGUGUGGGAGCUUGUAUGUACCUUAUGAAUAAGCAUCGGCUAACUCCGUGCCAGCAGCCGCGGUAAUACGGAGGAUGCGAGCGUUAUCCGGAUUUAUUGGGUUUAAAGGGAGCGUAGAUGGAUGUUUAAGUCAGUUGUGAAAGUUUGCGGCUCAACCGUAAAAUUGCAGUUGAUACUGGAUAUCUUGAGUGCAGUUGAGGCAGGCGGAAUUCGUGGUGUAGCGGUGAAAUGCUUAGAUAUCACGAAGAACUCCGAUUGCGAAGGCAGCACACUAAGCCGUAACUGACGUUCAUGCUCGAAAG
This 424-nucleotide ribosomal RNA is filed under the name uncultured Clostridium sp. RNAcentral describes it as "bacterial SSU rRNA". It matches the Rfam family "Bacterial small subunit ribosomal RNA", at positions 338 to 759 of the family's 1533-position model. The record is from RNAcentral. Lineage: Bacteria; Bacillati; Bacillota; Clostridia; Eubacteriales; Clostridiaceae.